UACAUGUGGGGCAAGCGUUGUUCGGAAUUACUGGGCAUAAAGGGUGCGUAGGCGGCUUGUUAGGUCACUGGUGAAAGUUUUCGGCCCAACCGGAAAAUUGCCUGUGAUACCGGCGAGCUUGAGUGCGUGAGGGGUGGGGGGAACGAGCAGUGUAGCGGUGAAAUGCGUAGAUAUUGCUCGGAAGGCCGGAGCCGAAGGGGCCC
Molecule: ribosomal RNA, 203 nt
Filed under: uncultured bacterium
Lineage: Bacteria
Description: partial 16S ribosomal RNA
Rfam family: Bacterial small subunit ribosomal RNA
Source: RNAcentral